RNAcentral lists this ribosomal RNA (253 nucleotides) under uncultured bacterium. RNAcentral describes it as "partial 16S ribosomal RNA". It matches the Rfam family "Bacterial small subunit ribosomal RNA", at positions 524 to 776 of the family's 1533-position model. The record is from RNAcentral.
UACGGAGGGAGCUAGCGUUGUUCGGAAUUACUGGGCGUAAAGCGUACGUAGGCGGCUAUUCAAGUCAGAGGUGAAAGCCCGGGGCUCAACCCCGGAACUGCCCUUGAAACUAGGUAGCUAGAGUCUUGGAGAGGUUAGUGGAAUUCCGAGUGUAGAGGUGAAAUUCGUAGAUAUUCGGAAGAACACCAGUGGCGAAGGCGACUAACUGGACAAGUACUGACGCUGAGGCACGAAAGCGUGGGGAGCAAACAGG